Molecule: ribosomal RNA, 467 nt
Filed under: uncultured Alphaproteobacteria bacterium
Lineage: Bacteria; Pseudomonadati; Pseudomonadota; Alphaproteobacteria
Description: bacterial SSU rRNA
Rfam family: Bacterial small subunit ribosomal RNA
Source: RNAcentral
GAGUUUGAUCCUGGCUCAGAGCGAACGCUGGCGGCAGGCCUAACACAUGCAAGUCGAGCGCCCCGCAAGGGGAGCGGCAGACGGGAGAGUAACACGUGGGAACGUACCCUUCAGUUCGGAACAACCCAGGGAAACUUGGGCUAAUACCGGAUACGUCCGAAAGGAGAAAGAUUUAUCGCUGAGGGAUCGGCCCGCGUCUGAUUAGCUAGUUGGUGGGGUAACGGCCCACCAAGGCGACGAUCAGUAGCUGGUCUGAGAGGAUGAUCAGCCUCACUGGGACUGAGACACGGCCCAGACUCCUACGGGAGGCAGCAGUGGGGAAUAUUGGACAAUGGGCGCAAGCCUGAUCCAGCCAUGCCGCGUGGGUGAUGAAGGCCCUAGGGUUGUAAAGCCCUUUCGGCGGGGAAGAUAAUGACGGUACCCGCAGAAGAAGCCCCGGCUAACUUCGUGCCAGCCGCCGCAGUAAG